Molecule: ribosomal RNA, 429 nt
Filed under: uncultured bacterium
Lineage: Bacteria
Description: bacterial SSU rRNA
Rfam family: Bacterial small subunit ribosomal RNA
Source: RNAcentral
UAGGGAAUCUUCGGCAAUGGGCGAAAGCCUGACCGAGCAACGCCGCGUGAAUGAAGAAGGCCUUCGGGUUGUAAAAUUCUGUUAUAAGGGAAGAAAGGUGAUAGGAGGAAAUGACUAUCAAUUGACGGUACCUUAUGAGAAAGCCACGGCUAACUACGUGCCAGCAGCCGCGGUAAUACGUAGGUGGCAAGCGUUAUCCGGAAUUAUUGGGCGUAAAGAGCGCGCAGGUGGUUAAUUAAGUCUGAUGUGAAAGCCCACGGCUUAACCGUGGAGGGUCAUUGGAAACUGGUUGACUUGAGUGCAGAAGAGGGAAGUGGAAUUCCAUGUGUAGCGGUGAAAUGCGUAGAGAUAUGGAGGAACACCAGCGGCGAAGGCGGCUUCCUGGUCUGCAACUGACACUGAGGCGCGAAAGCGUGGGGAGCAAACAGG